CCACAAUUGAUUUUGCAUGGUAGAGAGCGAUGGUCAUGUGGAAGCUCUGAAUAUCUCCGACCCAGGCGAGGUUGCUGCCUCGAUGCACAUUUUUGAGAUGCAGAAGCCCCGGCAUGAGAAAGUGUCUUUCAGCUGCUACCCUGUAUUCGCCUUCCUUCCUCCAACCUUGGACCCCCUCAGGACACAGAUGCUGGCGUGGGCCCGGCUUUGAACCCGCUUCUUUAAUUGUGGGGUGCUCGGCCCGUGCAGCUGUGCACGCCGCUACCGCUGCGCCGCAACGAGCGUCUCCCUCCCUGCGGCUCGUUUACUGUCAUUCUUCUUCACCAACGACCCCUCUCCCCUCCUUUGCUGCCCUCCCCGUCGUCUUUGUCUCUUUGAAGACCUGACUGGUUAGCGCCCCGGCCAAUCUGUUAGCGAAUGCUUGACUGGACCCCCGGAAAAAAGGCAGGGGCUCCCUCUUUGUUGGAGAGGGUGGCAUUCAGGCACA
Long non-coding RNA from Oreochromis aureus, 487 nucleotides. RefSeq lists it as uncharacterized. Lineage: Eukaryota; Metazoa; Chordata; Actinopteri; Cichliformes; Cichlidae. The transcript is spliced from 3 exons. The record is from RefSeq and is a predicted model, not a curated record.